AACGCACAUUGCGCCCCUUGGUAUUCCGAGGGGCAUGCCUGUUCGAGCGUCAUUUCACCACUCUAGCCUAGCUGGGUCUUGGGAUUCGCGAUUUCGCGGUCCUUAAAAUCAGUGGCGGUGCCUGUAGGCUCUGAGCGUAGUAAUUUUCUCGCUAUAGUCCCCUACAGGUUACUUGCCAGUAACCCCAAAUUUUUCAGGUUGACCUCGGAUCAGGUAGGGAUACCCGCUGAACUUAA
Molecule: unclassified non-coding RNA, 236 nt
Filed under: uncultured fungus
Lineage: Eukaryota; Fungi
Description: sequence contains ITS2
Rfam family: 5.8S ribosomal RNA (bases 1-52)
Source: RNAcentral